GCUGAGAUAGACAAGCAUCUCCCUUACACCGAGAAAACAUCCAUGCAAGUUGGAUCGCCCUGAGCUAUAAAUCUAGCUUAAACACAAUCAAAUUACAUCAUUAAAUAACCAUAUACCUAUAAAUAACUAAAACAUUUUACCACCUUAGUACGCGCGACAGAAAAGGACACCAUAGCCAUAACAAAAGUACCGCAAGGGAACGAUGAAAGAGAAAUGAAACAAAUCAUCAAAGCACAAAAAAGCAGAGAUCAAACCCCGUACCUUUUGCAUCAUGAUUUAGCAAGCGAGCCUGAGCAAAGCGUACUUUAGUUCAACACCCCGAAACUAAGUGAGCUACCCCGAAGCAGCCUAUUAAUUAGGGCUAACCCGUCUCUGUGGCAAAAGAGUGGGAGGACUUCCGGGUAGAGGUGACAAGCCUAACGAACCUAGUUAUAGCUGGUUGCCUAAGAAAUAAAUAGAAGUUUAGCCUCGCACUCCUUAACUCACAACAAACAAGAGCCCAAAGAAAAAUGCGAGAGUUAAUCAAAAGAGGUACAGCUCUUUUGAAACAGGACACAACCUCAACAGGUGAUUAAAGAUUAUAAUAAACAAGAAACUUACCCCAGU
This 606-nucleotide ribosomal RNA is filed under the name Plagiotremus tapeinosoma (piano fangblenny). RNAcentral describes it as "partial 12S ribosomal RNA". The stretch from base 240 to 606 matches the Rfam family "Bacterial large subunit ribosomal RNA", at positions 568 to 1081 of the family's 2925-position model. Lineage: Eukaryota; Metazoa; Chordata; Actinopteri; Blenniiformes; Blenniidae. The record is from RNAcentral.